Molecule: long non-coding RNA, 909 nt
Filed under: Mus musculus (house mouse)
Lineage: Eukaryota; Metazoa; Chordata; Mammalia; Rodentia; Muridae
Description: predicted gene, 33091
Source: RNAcentral
AGAGGGGCAGCAGUCACUCCCCCUAGAGCAGGUCUUCCAGGAAGCCUGACUGAUCAGAAUGGCCCAGAGAGAACAGCAAACAUGGAUUGUCAGAAGGAGCAUAGCUUAUGCAGUGAAGGACAGUGCUUGAAGCACAGUCCCCAGUAUCCUCUCAGCCCUGUCAUCAGAGACCUGCUCUUCAGCCUGCACCUUCCAGGUAGUUCAGCAGCAAGCCACCUGGCAACUGUCCUGCCAGGGAGGAAGCAGUUAUGCAGAGGCCUACAGCCCCAGUCAGCUGACAGCCCGUGGUAUAUGGAGAUGGGAGUGCUCAGAGGCACCUGGAAAUAGACCCGACAUAGAUGGCUGAGCACGAGGUACCCCUUCAGACCCAUCCGUCAGCAGCAGGCCCUGCCAGAGGAUGGCCUAUUGAACAUUUCCAGGAAUAGCACCAGGAGCCUGUCAACUGCUUUCUUGGAAAUACACUCAAUAAGGAUGGCUGUCCUCCAGCCGGCAGAGCAGAAAGCCUGGCCUGGACCAGAAAUGGCAGCUCCUGGAGGCAGCCUUCCUUAGGACCUUGAGAAUGGGGCAUCUGUUCUUUUGGGCUGCUUGUGGAACUUCCAUCAGUUGCUGGAGUCACUCAGGGUGGAAAGGGACGUUGAGAUGGCCUGCAGAGGCUCCAGGUCCAGCUUCCUUCAGACAGCUUGGUGCCCUUCACACGCAUAAAAAUAUCAACAGGCAGGAAGGUGACAGGUUAGAUGACAAGCUCUUGUCAGCAGUGAGAAUUCACAUCGCCUGGCAGUGAACACCUACACACCUUCUCUUAUAAAUUUCACCCCUAAGGACACCCAAAGGAGCUCCAGAAAGGGGGUUCUUUCUUUAAAGCCCCCAUCUUCCAGUCAUUCUGAGAAUAUAUCAAAUAUAUAGCAAAAA